RNAcentral lists this long non-coding RNA (1414 nucleotides) under Sus scrofa (pig). Its description in RNAcentral is "lncRNA (ENSSSCG00060048893.1)". Lineage: Eukaryota; Metazoa; Chordata; Mammalia; Artiodactyla; Suidae. The record is from RNAcentral.
AUGCACAGGCUGGGACACCAACGCUGGGAGUCGGGAAGGAAGAGCUGCCAUGCAGUCAAGGGACCAGGGGCUCCAGAGUGCGGGCCUGUGACCGCUCAGUGCUGGCCUGGCUCCAUGCACCAAGAAGGAGAAGCCCAGCCAGCCACCCCUGAACUGCUCCUAUUCCCAGCACAGUCAAGAAAGAGCCGCCAUCAAAACGGAAACGCUGGGACAUCGCUCAACCCAAGUUGCAAAGCUCUGCAGGCCUGUGAAACUUUUUUUUUUUCUUCUUUAAAGGCCACUGAUUUUUAGUUGCACAUUCACUUACUUGGUGAGGGGGACAGGUGUACAUCGUGGAAAUCCCACCAUCAGGUUUCCUGGGGCUCUUUGCUACCUAAGAAAUAUGACCAAUAAGUUCACUUUGACUCACUGACCCCUCAGAUCAGCCAGUAAAAUGAAGCCCUUACACCGCAGCUUGCUCAAGGGGCGGUGUAAUUAUUUUACUUAAAAAUGAUGUCAGGUGGCAGUUGAGCAACAAACCAGCCUCCAGACUACUUAAUUCAGUUUAACAAGGAGGAAAAACCUUGUAAUUAACCAAGAGCUUUUGCUUUAGGAGUUCAGUGAAGCUGUUCUCAAAGUUUGCAGAACCUCAGCUGGGGGGGAUGGGGGUGGAGGGGGCAGCUUGUUGAAAGUACAGGUUCCCAGGCCCCGCUUGUAAAUCAUGGGCCAGGCCUGGGACUCUGCAUUUCAGAGAAACCCCAUUUGCAAGUGCUGCUUCUGAGCAUCACUUGGUCUCACUGGGCUUUUAGAUAAGGUAUGCCCUCAUUUUCUGCUCUAACUCUCCAUUGGCUAAGUCUAGAAUCCCAGGACCAUCUCCCAUCCUACAGCAACCAACUUUGAGCUGUUUUCUUGGAGUUUCAUAGUAUGUCUGUUCCCUUUUUGGAGUUCCAGUUAGCCACAUUUCUGGAUGGAAGUUCUUCCAGGACCUUCUUACAGAGGGCACAGAAUGUUCCCCAGAGGAUAGGGAAGGCUCUGAGUCCCUUCUUUAGGUGCGGGGGAGGGGUGCACCUGCGGCAUGAGGACGUUCUGGGCCAGGGAUCGAACCCUUGUCACAGCAAUAACCUGAGCCACAGCAGUAACACUGGAUGCUUAACCCUCUGAGCCGCCAGGGAACUCCAUUUUUCCUUUUUUUUUCUGAGUACCUUCUUUUACAUACCCCUGCCCCAGGAUCACCAGGGCUAUCGUGCCUGAUUGAUGCCUUCUACCUGGAGGAAAGGGAAAAUCGCCCUUGACCACCAAAGUCCCAUCUUUGAGCCAUGUCCACGUGCUUCCCAUCUCUGCCUUUCCACUGCCGAGCAUGUCCUGGCGUGAAGGCUCCUUAGAACCACAAUCCCGAGAUCACUUCCCUCCUGGAAUAAAGAAUUGCAGAGGCUCA